UACGAAUGGGGCAAGCGUUGUUCGGAAUCACUGGGCUUAAAGAGUACGUAGGCGGAUUUGCAAGUCAGGAGUGAAAUCCAGGGGCUCAACCUCUGAAUUGCUCUUGAAACUGCAAAUCUAGAAUCCGAUAGAGGUCAGGAGAAUUCCUAGUGUAGAGGUGAAAUUCGCAGAUAUUAGGAGGAAUACCAGUGGCGUAGGCGCCUGACUGGGUCGGUAUUGACGCUGAGGUACGAAAGCGUGGGGAGCAAACAGG
Molecule: unclassified non-coding RNA, 253 nt
Filed under: uncultured Alphaproteobacteria bacterium
Lineage: Bacteria; Pseudomonadati; Pseudomonadota; Alphaproteobacteria
Description: contains 16S-23S intergenic spacer region
Rfam family: Bacterial small subunit ribosomal RNA
Source: RNAcentral